This 952-nucleotide long non-coding RNA is filed under the name Pan troglodytes (chimpanzee). Its description in RNAcentral is "long non-coding RNA NONPTRT017248". The record is from RNAcentral. Lineage: Eukaryota; Metazoa; Chordata; Mammalia; Primates; Hominidae.
GCAUGGAUACACCUAAUUGUAAAAGAGGCUGAGAAAUAGAGACUAUUGUGCCCAGAAAGAAGAGAAAAUUCAUUUAUGGAAGAGGUAGCUAGUCUCUCACAGCCAUGAAAAGAGAAGUCUUUAGCUAAUUGAAGUGAAUAGCAGCCAUCUUGUGUCCCUAAGGCAAGUUAGACUAAUAUUGAAGUGGAAACCAUGAGGAAAGCAGUGAUACUGAAAGUAACCACAUCUUUGAGAACAUGCAUUCAUUUCCUACAACAUGAAUUUAUUGAGGACCUACCUUAAUAUAGGCAGCGUGCUAGACACCAAGAGAACUGAUGUCCUCUUCCUUCCUGCCUGCCUGGAGCCUAUAUUCUGGAGGGGACAGAGCUAGAAAGUCCUUUCCCCAUUGCUUGUUUUUGUCAGGUUUGUCAAAGGUCAGAUGGUUGUAGAUGUGUGGUGUUAUUUCUGAGGUCUCUGUUUCAUUGGUCUAUAUAUCUGUUUUGGUACCAGUACCAUGCUGUUUUGGUUACUGUAGCCUUGUAGUAUAGUUUGAAGUCAGGUAGUAUGAUGCCUCCAGCUUUGUUCUUUUGGCUUAGGAUUGUCUUGGCUAUCUGGGCUCUUUUUUGGUUCCAGAUGAAAUUUAAAGUAGUUUUUUUCUAAUGCUGCAAAAAAAGUCAAGGUUAGCUUGAUGGGAGUAGCAUUGAAUCUAUACAUUACUUUGCUCUGCCCCUGUUUAUAUAUAUAUGACUGAUAUGGUUUGGCUGUGUCCCUGCCCAAAUCUCAUCUUGAAUUCCCACAUGUUGUGGGAGGAACCUGGAGGGAGGCAAUUGAUCAUGGGGCAAGUCUUUGCCAUGCUGUUCUUGUGAUAGUGAAUAAGUCUCAUGAGAUCUGACGGUUUUAAAAAGAGGAGUUCCCCUGCACAAAUUCUCUUUGCCUGCUGCCAUCCAUGUAAGGCAUGACUUACUCCUCCUUG